GAUGAAGAACGUAGCGAAAUGCGAUAAGUAAUGUGAAUUGCAGAAUUCAGUGAAUCAUCGAAUCUUUGAACGCACAUUGCGCCCGCCAGUAUUCUGGCGGGCAUGCCUGUUCGAGCGUCAUUUCAACCAUCAAGCCCCAGGCUUGUGUUGGAGCCCUGCGGCUCCGCAGCCUCCCAAAACCAGUGGCGGGCUCGCUAUCACACCGAGUGCAGUAGUUUACUCUUCGCUCAGGGCGUGUGGCGGGUGCUAGCCGUGAAACCCCCAACUUCUCAAGGUUGACCUCGGAUCAGGUAGGAAUACCCGCUGAACUUAAGCAUAUCAAUAAGCGGAGUA
RNAcentral lists this unclassified non-coding RNA (333 nucleotides) under soil metagenome. Its description in RNAcentral is "partial contains 5.8S ribosomal RNA, internal transcribed spacer 2, and large subunit ribosomal RNA". The stretch from base 1 to 120 matches the Rfam family "5.8S ribosomal RNA", at positions 35 to 154 of the family's 154-position model. The record is from RNAcentral.